Solenopsis invicta (red fire ant) is the source of this 2723-nucleotide long non-coding RNA. RefSeq lists it as uncharacterized. NCBI's taxonomy places the organism in Eukaryota, Metazoa, Arthropoda, Insecta, Hymenoptera, Formicidae. The record is from RefSeq and is a predicted model, not a curated record. The transcript is spliced from 8 exons.
GACCCCACUACCAGUACUAUCUCCCCCUCCCCUUCAUUCAGAGAGGAACCGGAUAAGAGAACCAAACAGCGGACACGCUUUGAUUUUAGGUGCAACCUUACUGUUGAUCGUCAUGUGGAGAGGUUCAAUUUAACUCAGAUUUUAAUUUACUUAUACUUUUUAUUUUUAUUUUAAAAGUAAUUAUAAGAUUUGAGACACGUUUUGAACAUAAAAUAAUAAUAAUUAGCAUCGUAAUGCGAAAAAUGCAUGUUGUGUCGACCUUGGCGCGUGAAGUUAACCGCGAGAGAGACGAAAUCGCUUCUCGCGCCAUCCUAAACUAUAUUCACGUUUCUUUUACAGAACAUGGGGGACGCGAGGCGGACCGGCUCUAGAACGGAUGCGUCAACGCUGCUCGUUUAAUGGAACGCAGCGAUCGCGGGACGGACCGGCUCCAGAACGGAGGUGUCGUCGCUGCUCGUUUAACAGAUUCGAUGCUCGUGUGCAGUGCGGCGGCGGCGCGAGCGCGGCGUCGAUUUUGACGCGUAAAGUUGAUCGCGCGGAAGGGAAGGAAGCCGCUUCGCCAUCUUGAUCCCCAUUUACGUGUUUGAUUGCAAAACGCGGCGGACGCAGGACGGAUCGAAACCAGAGCAAGCGGCGUUGCGACUUGUUUAACAGAACGCGGCGUACACAGAAAGGACCAACUCCGGAACAAAUGGCGUUACAUUCAUCCAAUUAAUCGUAUAGUUUCGUAUGUACUACAAUUCUAUUAUUGCACAUCGUCGGAAUAUAAUCUGAAAAGAAAAUCUGACAACUUGGAAAUAAAUCAGAUUUAAGAGAGGUAUCGGGCUUCGGUGGAGCAACUUUGCGAUUCAUCGUAGCGACGUAUCUGAUAACUCCACUGUUGCGCAUCAAUCGCAAACUUAUUCCUCCCAUGUGUAUAAAGCUGACGCAUACUCGACGAUGAUUUAAAUAAACGAAUCACAAUCGGUUCGUUGCAUCACGCGUUUGUUUCGGGAGUGCCGUUUAAAGUAAUAGAAUUUAAUUAGUCCACGGGCGCAAUUUUAGUGUAUUUAACGCGAGUGUUCCGCGAGUGCAACGAGACGAGGAGGCUCGACAACCUGGAUCUGAGAGGAGGAGGAGGUCUGGGAGAGGCAUCGGGUCCCAGCGGAGCAACUUUGGGUAUCAUCGCAGCUUCGUGGCCGAUUAACUCCGCUCGUUGCGCAUCAGGUCGGUGAGUCAAAACAAUUAUAAUAUUGAUGUUUUAGGGGGAAUCAAGGAAUACUUGAUGGAUGAUGUUGAAAAUUGUAUAAUUCUCAUCCGCGUUCCUCCCAUCGAUCGUGUUUGAACCGUGCCAAGAAAUUCUACGCGCCGCUAUUUGAUUUAAUCUUUUGUAGGCGUUAAUAUAAUUUAACGAAAUUAUUGGACGUGGUAACCUGAGGAUUUUUCUUCCCGUGAAUGAAUGUAAUAAUAUUACGAUUUUCCAACAUUUAUUCGUCGAACUUCUUAAUACAAUUCUCUAACAGCUUACGGCUGACAUCAAUAUUGUCGUUUCAACAUAAAUAGCUAUUUCACUACAAUGUGAUACAUCUGAUAUUCUUAUACAACAUUAUUUAGUUCCUAGUUCGACAUCGGAAGAAUACAAAUUUUUGACACCGAUUGUUUUACAAUACCAUUUUACAAUACCAAAAUAGUAUUGUAAAAAAACCGGUGUCAAAAAUUUGUAUUAAAUAUCGACUCUGAAAGAUUCCGGCUUUUCUUUGAAAGAGAAUGUUUGAUCUAUGCCGUUAAACUGAUUUACUUGCCGAGCAUUUAAAUGUCAUUGGAGUUCUUAUUUUUGGAGUCAAUCAAUUCCUAUGUAUAAAAUUACAUGAUGUAAUUGCUGUUUUAUAUGUUUAACUUUGUAUAAGAGUUAUUGACAUGAAUACGUAAUUGUAAUGUCAAUAAUUGUAUUAAUAGCGUUACAUAGUGCUAACAUAUCAAUUGUCGAUAUUUUUGAAACGUGUAUUAAUAAUAGGACAUGAAGAAACCCUAUGUAGUAAAUGAUAAUAGUUGUCCCAACAUUUUACCAUAAAAGAUAACUUAUCGACUGCAACUAUAAUACAUGUAUAAAAGCACAUGCAUGCACAUGCAGGUCUUACAGCUGAAGUUGGUAAGUUAUCUCCUUUGGUAAAACGUUGGGACUACCAUUAUGAUUAUAUAUGUAUAUUAUUGACAUAUAUUAUAUUUAUUUAUUUAUUUAUGUUAUUUUUAUAUUUUUAAAAUUUUUUAUAUUUUACUUUUUGCUAGUAUAAAUUUUUUGUUUCUUAUAAAAUUUUUCUACCCUAAAUGUAACUAAAUCACUGAAAAUAGGAUCGAUAAAGUUAAAAAAUUGAAAAUAUUGAAUUUGAUAGCGUUCUUUUAUUUAAAUUAUAUCAAUUUUAAAGUUACAUAGAAAUCAGUAAAUAACAAUAAUAUUUAGUUUGUAAUAGUCAAAAAUAACAUAAUUUUUGUUUGCUUGAGACUCUUAGAAAAUACUCGUUAAAACUAAUAUGCGCCAAAACAGUAAAAAUAAUAAAAUUAAAUAUAAUGUCGUAUAUUCCGUAACUAAUAGUACAGUAAAAAAAAGGCUAUAAAAUAAUAAGAUGAAUCAAUUGGUGCAACGAAAACACAUAGUUGCUUUAAAAAAAAUAUACAAUAACAUAAAAUAUAUAUAUUUACGUUUUUCAAAGCAAUUAUGUGUUUUUUUAUAGUUGAUUUAUCUCUUU